RNAcentral lists this ribosomal RNA (349 nucleotides) under uncultured archaeon. RNAcentral describes it as "bacterial SSU rRNA". It matches the Rfam family "Archaeal small subunit ribosomal RNA", at positions 421 to 770 of the family's 1478-position model. The record is from RNAcentral.
AAAAAAUAGAGAGAGUAAGAGCUGGGUAAGACGGGUGCCAGCCGCCGCGGUAAUACCUGCAGCUCAAGUGGUGGCCGCUAUUAUUGGGCCUAAAACGUCCGUAGCCGGCUUAGUAAAUGCCUGGGUAAAUUGUGUAGCUUAACUAUACGAAUACCGGGUAGACUGCUAAACUUGGGACCGGGAGAGGCUUGAGGUACUCCUAGGGUAGAGGUGAAAUUCUGUAAUCCUAGGGGGACCACCAGUGGCGAAGGCGUCUAGCCAGAACGGGUCCGACGGUGAGGGACGAAGCCCUGGGGCGCAAACCGGAUUAGAUACCCGGGUAGUCCAGGGUGUAAACGCUGCUCGCUUG